UACGUAGGGCGCAAGCGUUGUCCGGAAUUAUUGGGCGUAAAGAGCUCGUAGGUGGCGUGUCGCGUCUGCCGUGAAAGCCCAUGGCUUAACUGUGGGUCUGCGGUGGAUACGGGCAGGCUGGAGGCUGGUAGGGGCAAGCGGAAUUCCUGGUGUAGCGGUGAAAUGCGCAGAUAUUGGGAGGAACACCUGUGGCGAAGGCGGCUACCUGGACAGUGACUGACGCUGAGGCGCGAAAGCUAGGGGAGCGAACGGG
Molecule: ribosomal RNA, 253 nt
Filed under: uncultured bacterium
Lineage: Bacteria
Description: partial 16S ribosomal RNA
Rfam family: Bacterial small subunit ribosomal RNA
Source: RNAcentral